RNAcentral lists this ribosomal RNA (631 nucleotides) under uncultured Bacteroidales bacterium. RNAcentral's name for it is "bacterial SSU rRNA". It matches the Rfam family "Bacterial small subunit ribosomal RNA", at positions 28 to 651 of the family's 1533-position model. Lineage: Bacteria; Pseudomonadati; Bacteroidota; Bacteroidia; Bacteroidales. The record is from RNAcentral.
GAUGAACGCUAGCGACAGGCUUAACACAUGCAAGUCGAGGGGCAGCACGAUGUAGCAAUACAUUGGUGGCGACCGGCGCACGGGUGAGUAACGCGUAUGCAACCUACCUAUCAGAGGGGAAUAACCCGGCGAAAGUCGGACUAAUACCGCAUAAAACAGGGGUUCCACAUGGAAAUAUUUGUUAAAGAAUUAUCGCUGAUAGAUGGGCAUGCGUUCCAUUAGAUAGUUGGUGAGGUAACGGCUCACCAAGUCCACGAUGGAUAGGGGUUCUGAGAGGAAGGUCCCCCACACUGGUACUGAGACACGGACCAGACUCCUACGGGAGGCAGCAGUGAGGAAUAUUGGUCAAUGGGCGAGAGCCUGAACCAGCCAAGUCGCGUGAAGGAUGAAGGAUCUAUGGUUUGUAAACUUCUUUUAUAUGGGAAUAAAGUGAGGAACGUGUUCCUUUUUGUAUGUACCAUAUGAAUAAGCAUCGGCUAACUCCGUGCCAGCAGCCGCGGUAAUACGGAGGAUGCGAGCGUUAUCCGGAUUUAUUGGGUUUAAAGGGUGCGUAGGUGGUUAAUUAAGUCAGCGGUGAAAGUUUGUGGCUCAACCAUAAAAUUGCCGUUGAAACUGGUUGACUUGAGUAUAU